AAGGAAACAAUAUAUAUAUAUGUAUUUUGCGCCUUAGAGUGGGAAAAAAUCACUUUCUUCCAAUACUCUCUUUCUUCUCACCAUCAUCAAUUAGUGAUAAUUAUUCGAAGGCAUAGACAACAACAACACACGAUGUGGAAUCUUGAUAAAGAUUGGAAACGUAUAGACAAAAAUUGGAUAAACAGCUGACUUUGGAUUCAGAUGGGAGGCCGUUUCGGAUGUUGGUUUUUAGGGGAUGUCCAAAAUCAAACAAAAACUCUAUUUGUCAUAUCGUUGUGUUGUGACAACAAGACGCUACAAAAUUUCUAAUCAACCGCGAUCAACAUAUCCAUCGGAAACUGCCUCAAGUUUGGUUUUGGUUUCAUUUUAAUCCAUUUGUCAAAUAAAUUUAUCUACCUAUGCAAAGUGCACCUAUUUGUUUUUAGGGUGCCCUUGUUUAACUGAAAUAUAGUUUCUUGUAAAGACCUUGAAAUCCCAAAUGUACUGGCUUUUAUUAAAUUGGAAUACUGAUUUUCUUUAUGUGCACAUGAUAUCUUGUACUUAGUUUUUAUUCUUCAUAAUUAGUAAAAUUUCCCAACUGUUAGAA
This is a non-coding RNA of Cicer arietinum (chickpea), 586 nucleotides long. The record is from RefSeq and is a predicted model, not a curated record. Lineage: Eukaryota; Viridiplantae; Streptophyta; Magnoliopsida; Fabales; Fabaceae.